Molecule: long non-coding RNA, 1625 nt
Organism: Rhododendron vialii
Lineage: Eukaryota; Viridiplantae; Streptophyta; Magnoliopsida; Ericales; Ericaceae
Exons: 2
Source: RefSeq, a predicted model, not a curated record
AAGGUAACAAGCGACUAAUGGCUCCCAAUAAGCACCCCUUCAAUCUUUCUUUGCAAUGGUUCGCCUCUAUAAAUGAGAAAUUUGAAUUUCCCUUCACGUUUAUCUUCAGAUUCCUCUCUACCAACAUUACAUCCCCCCAAAAACGGCAGAUUGGCACUAGGGAGAAGCAUUUGAAGUGCUGGGGUAGCCAAUUUGUUGUAAAGGCAAGAGAACCACAAGAACUUCCAACAGCUAUCUCCGUAUGAGAUUCUUUGUGUUAAAAAAAGAUGGACGAAACAGAAGGUUUGAGUUGCCUCGGAGUCGAUGAAAUUGGCAAGUGGUGAUUUUGUGAAAGGAAGGGAUAUGCUGAUUUACACCUGAAUAGAGAGCAGAUAUAUUCAAAAAACCAAGCAAAAUAGGAAGAGGAAAAGCAAUGUGCAUAAUACAUCUCCAAACAUAAUUCAUGGUUGUGAAUCCUAGAUGGACAAGUACAAAUUCCAUUUCCGGAUACACCAUCGGAGGGCCACCAAAUUGAGACCCAAACCAUUGGUUAUAUAGUACUUUAGAAUAGAUUAUUAUUUGAUUAAAUCCUUAAAUUUAUAUACUUUCAAAAUUACCUUACUCUUUAUACACAACCUUGUGUUGACAUCAUAAAACAUGAUACCAUAUCUAAUUUCCCAUGACCAAUAGAAUUCAAAUGCAUCACCUAGAUGCCCAAUCCUUCAAAAUGCAGUCCAUUAUCUUGUUCGUCAUUUGGUAGAUUUUCACUUUUAAAAGAAAUUGCCCAAGCACAAGAGAAGAAGGUGCAUGAUGUUGCAUUGAAAUUCCAAAUUCCAUAAGCAAUACAUAAUCGUUAAUGGUUAGCUAAAAAUGUACACUCAUAUUGUACCGCGUCAUUUUUUUUAACAAUCCAACAACAUUCUGAAGCUCGAAAUUAAAAUUGGUACUGUUGCACAUCUAUGACUUCUUGAGACAAUCAAACGAAUAUCUUACAUUGCUCCAUGGCGCUUAUAGUGACAAAGCGCUAGCUAUGAAUAAAUGCCAAACAUCCAAAGCCCUUGAAUAACUAGUUGAAUGACUAAAGUGUAUUAAUUAUGUUGCUUACAAAGUUUGGGUACGAGGUUAAUUUAGAUUCACUUUUGAAAUGUUGGAUAAUAUGUCAUGGUUUUUGAAUAACCGAUUUGUUGCCAAUGAUACGACUGAAUGUUGAUGGUUUCGGUUGUUACAAGCAAUGGGCAACAUCAAAGAAACAAUUGUUCCCUUUUUGCCAUAUCAGCAACAAAAGUGGAAGCAAUGGCCUGUUUGAAGCGCUGCAGUGGGCUAAGAAAAACAUUAGCAUUGAUAACCUUAUCAUUUAUAUUGAUGCAUGAGAGAUGGUUUAUGGGGUGUUUCAAUUCUAGCCCUUGCUGUUCUACAACCUGUGAUUGAAGAUAUUAUACGAGUGUUUAGCAAUUUCAAUUAUGUUUUUAUUAGUUAAGUUCAUCAAGGUAAUGUAAGUAAGAUCAACUCAUAUGCUGGCUAUUGCUGCCUUUAGAAUGAGGCCAACUAUAUAUGUUGUAUUGUACAGUUGUUAUUGACACAUAUGAUGAUCCAUGUUACUAAAAAAAGUCAUUUGUGCGAUGACAAUACAAUAUUCAAUUGCUCCA